Molecule: long non-coding RNA, 2431 nt
Organism: Chenopodium quinoa (quinoa)
Lineage: Eukaryota; Viridiplantae; Streptophyta; Magnoliopsida; Caryophyllales; Amaranthaceae
Exons: 3
Source: RefSeq, a predicted model, not a curated record
AAAAAUUUAUUUGUAAUCGACCUUAAAAGGCCAGCUGCUAAUAAUAGGGAAUGAAGUUCUAAUUUUGACCCACCCGUUUCUCUCUCCUCAUAACCGCGCUUCUCUAUCAUCUGAAAAAUUAGAAACCCUACAAUCUCUCUCAUCAGCCCUUACAUCCAAUGUCCCUGAACUUCACUCACCUCACCUCCAUUAUACCGUCCUCUCCUCCAUUGCUAGAAGAUUUUAUUUAAAAGCUACUCCUUUUUCAACUUUGCCUCCACUAGAGUAAACCCUAACCCUAGAAAAACCAAGAUAAACUCCUAAAUUUGAGUACAAACCCUAACUUUCAAAUAGUCGAAACAAUUACUACUAAUUUGAACGAAAAUCCAACGUCCUUGCUUAGUUCUUUUGAAUUUUCAGUUGUUAUUUCCUCAAAUUUAGGGUAUUUUUGCCCAAUUUUCUACGGUUUUUGUAGUUCGAAUUUUUUUUGGGGUUUUUGGUCGAUUUUUUGCUUGAAAAUAAGGGGCUUUGGCUCGAAUUUGCUCGAAUAUAGGGGGGUUUUGCCGCACAUUUCCUGGGUUUUUCGAUUAGUGGUCGAACUUGUAGGCUUUGGGGUCGAAUUUCUCGAGGUAUUGCUGUUGAAAUCGCUGGUGUUUUGGGGUCGAACGGCAGCAGAGUAUCGCUGGGGAUUUUUGGGGUUUUGCUGGUCGAAUUUUUGGGGUAUUGCGAUUGAAUUUGCCAUCGCUUUUUAGAAGCUCGCUAUAGAUGUCCUCCAUAUGACAAAGUCCAGGUUAUUCGUGGUAUAUCGAUUCGAUAAUGUUGCUUGGGAGCUCGGUAUUUAGAUAUUUCUUGCUUUCUCUUUCAAAUCUACCGUUUUUAUUUCAAUUCUGCAAUUUCAUGUUGUUUUUAUGAGAAAUUUGGUGUCAAACCUUAAAAUUUUCGAUUAUUUUGAUUAUAAUUGUUGAUUUUUUAUGUUGAUUUUAUGGAGGAGCUUUUACGACACUCGCAGAGAGGGGGUGUCGUUUGACACUUGCAGAAAUGACCACUGCUGCUCUUGUUUAAAGUGAAAAAUAUGCUCAUUCUUUUCUAAGAGCAAGUUUAGCCCCAAGUAAAGAUUUAUACUUAAGACUUUUCCCAUUUUUCUUCAAAAAUCUCAAACAAGUCUGUUAAGUCUUGAAAUUUCAACUUAAGACUUGAGAUUGGGACCCACUUCACUUUUAUUUGUAUUAUCCCUUUUUUUUUUUUCUUACACUUUUCUACUUAUAAUAUGUCAAGUAUUUAAAUCUUAGGGCUAAAGUGAUAAAUUUGUGUAAGUCUUAGUGAGUCUUAACAAGAAUUUGAUGACAUCAUUUUCAACGGGGACCACCAAAAAUGAUGUCACAUUCAAGUCUUAAGACUUGGUGCUAAACUUGCUCUAACUGAGGUUCUUUAUUUCACUUAUACGAUUACUGCUUUGGCAAUAAGAUGAAUUCUAGGGUUUGAUUUUGAUUUCUGUUUUUUAGGUGUGUGAUAAUCGUUCUACUCACAAUUGCUGGGCUUAUAAGUAAAAUGCGUUUAGAGUUGAGCCAAAGCCAAGGAGUAGGCCCUUUUGAUUGGAUCACCAAAUUGUAGAGUUGGAGCAUGUGCAAAUGUGGAACCCAAGCCCCAUCAUCUAAGCCUCACUCCACCUUAAAAGUUAAAAAAGAAGGGAGCUUGUUGAGGUCUCAACCAUCUAGUAUUGACUCAGUGUGGUUGGUACUUUGAUAGGUCAUUACUGCCAUCAUGUGUUGGAGGGUAUUUGCUGGUAUUUGUACUAUAAAAGCUUGGUGGUAUUUGUAUAGUAUAAUCUUCAAGAAAUUGAGAAACUUGCAUUGAUAGUUUCAGAGGUUAGUUUUUUACUUAUUAGAAUGUGGGCAUAAUGUGUGAUCUGUAUUGUUUGGUAUAACAGAUUUGGAUCAAUCUAUGUAGUGUGGUGGACUGUUUUGUAGAAAUUCUGUUUAUGGUCUAAUAUGAUGUGUCCAGUUGUCAUAUUUCUAUAUUUACCUUAUUAAUUAACUUCUUGUUCAUGGAAGGAGGGAUUGCUGAUAAACUGUCGCUGGAUCUUGUACCUGUUUGCAGGUUUGGCAUAUUAGAACCACUCAGAAUUUGUGACGCCUUGAACGUGUUCAUUCUAUGAGAGUUAAAAGUCUUUGUUUUUCUCGAGAUGGAAGUCAGAUAUUGAGUACAUCUGUUGACAGCACUGCCAGGGUUCAUGUUUUGAAGUCUGGGAAAUUGUUGAAGGAAUUUCGUUGGCAUACUUCUAAUGUGAAUCAUGCGAUAUUUACAAAUGAUUGUAGCCGUGUGAUCAGAGCAUCUCUAGAUGUUUCAACCAGUCAAUUUUUUUUAUUUAUUUUUUAUAUUUUUUAAUUUGUAAUGAAUUUUAUACUUCAUUUUUUGUUUGAGGAAUGAAUGUAUACUUCAUAAUUAACAUAAA